This is an RNA transcript of Tribolium castaneum (red flour beetle), 4598 nucleotides long. RefSeq lists it as uncharacterized. The record is from RefSeq and is a predicted model, not a curated record. The transcript is spliced from 5 exons. NCBI's taxonomy places the organism in Eukaryota, Metazoa, Arthropoda, Insecta, Coleoptera, Tenebrionidae.
CUUUUUACGAAUCUGUUGCGUUGACAGUUGACAGUUAACACCGCAGCAGCAACUAUCAAUUUUCAGUGCAUUACACGUUUUUAAUAGCGAUUAUGUCUAAAAUUAAAGUAAACUGAAUCCUGACCCACGAACAUUGUUGUAAUCGUUUUUCAUGCUGGAUUUAUACAGAUAAUUUUUACUUUUACUUUCAGCUUUAUUUUUCUUCAAGAAAGUUAAAGUAAUGGAUUCAUAUGCGAGCGUUUAUACAAAUUUUUUUUUUCUUUUUUUCUUUAAGCAAAGAUGGGCAUCUUUUAACUUUUAUUUAAGAAAAUAAAAAUUUGUUAAGUGCGCAAGCGCAUAGAACCAAAGACAGCACGGCAACAGGCCUACGACACGAGGCGGAAAUUCGCGGCAGCAGCUCUUAUGUUUUUUGCGUAGGUGGGCCCGCCUCAACCGUCGAUUCGAGAUGCUAUGAAUAUGCUACUUUUAAAUGAAGCCUACCACAACGGUUCGGCCUACCUUAACGAUUUUUCGACGGCGAGAGUUUUAAAAUAUUGUAAUUUUCUUUACGGACUCGCAGAUGGAGUUAAACUUACCUUUGACUAUCCAAAUUAAUAGAACGCAUGCAAUUAUAUGUUAUAUGAACAUAAAAACGUAAAAUGCAGUAGCUAUUAUUUUAGUUUUAUUAACUAGAUUUGAAUAAUUUCAUCGAAUAAGAGUGAGCAAGGAUUGUAGAGAGUGGGGAGUGCCUACCUCAACCGUCAUUUUGACGGUGUUGCCAGUGUUGGUACAAUUGUACCAGAUUUGGUACACUGAAGUGCAUAAUAUACAAUGACACUACUUUAAAAGAAAACAGCUAAAUCUGGUACAAAUAUUCACCUGAAGAUUUUGUUUUUUUUUACUCAAAUUUAUAAAAAGCGUCAUCUAGCGUUUUAGCUCAUUAACUCACAGCCCACCUCUCAUUUUACAACUUAGCACACGUCCAUUUGCUGAGUUUAUGUUUGAGUUGUUGACAUAACCUAUGGUAAAAUUGCGCGCUUGCUUGUUAUGAACAUUCAUGUACCUAAGUCUGUAACCAUAGACAUGUAACAUAGUAAUGGCUUAACUGCAUUCAGCGCAGUGUUUUUCUUUCUGAUUGUGCUUGUUAGCUCUUAACAAUGGAAAAGAGGCAAGAUGAAACUGAGUCCGAAUCUGAGCCUGAGGUGUCCAACGGAUGUGCCUCAGAAGCAGGUUAUAAUACGGAAACGGAGAAAAAAAAGUCCGGUACUGAGAGUAAAAAAAGAAAAAUAAAUUAUGCACAUAAAUUUAAUGAAAAAUUAGUGCAAGACUACCCUUGGCUCUCUUGCAAAAAUGGAAAAUCAUUUUGUGAAGUGUGCACCACGUUAGUUGCUGGGAGUGCCUCUCAUAUAAAAAGACAUGUAAAUUGUUAAAAACACAAAAUAAAAAUUUAAGCUGCUAAGUUAACGCCUAGUAUUAAAAAUUUUUCUACAAAUGAUGCUGAAAAAAAAACAUUUAAAAAAAGUUUACAACAGCGAAUUAAAAUUAGUUAUGUUCUUGCAUAAUGGAACAUAUACCAAGUCUUCUGUGAUCAGUGUGUCCUGAUUCUGCUAUUGCAAAAGACAUUAAAUGCAGUAGAACAAAAGCCACUGCUAUAACUAAUGAAUGCAUGGCGUUAGAAAGUCUGGAAUGCUUACAAAAGCAACUUCAAGAAUCUGGAAAUACUUUCUCCCUCAUCAUUGAUGAAACGACUGAUGUGUCUGUGAAGAAGUCUUUGGCUAUUGUAAUAAGAUAUUGCUUAAAUGAUUUGUCAAGAGAUAGGUUUUUUGGAUUAGUGAAAGUUGAAGAAUCAAAUGCAGAAUCUUUGUUUAAUAUUAUUAUUAAAUUAUUGAAAGAUAAUAAGAUCGAUUUAAAAGGGAACUCAACCCAAACAUCUUUGUACUGGGUUGCACGUCUCAUUCAUUGCAUCUAGCAGCAUCUGCUGCUUGUUCAAAAAUACCAAAAGACCUAGAAGAAUUUGUAAGAAAUUUAUAUAACCAUUUUUCUAAUAGUCCUAAACGUAUUGAUCAGUUAGAAGAAUUUCAAAAAUUUUUGGAUUUAAAACCAUUUAAAAUGCUUCGACCAUGCCAAACUAGAUGGCUGUCCUUACAGGCAGUAAUGGACAGAAUAAUUUUAUUGUGGGAUUCUCUGCAACUACAUUUUACGAAUUUUUUGUUUGAAAGUUUGAGAAAUGCUUUAGACUGCGAAACUAAAUUGUUAGAAGGUUUAAGAAACCCUGUAUAUAAGAUGUAUCUUCUCUUUUUGUCUUACAUUUUAGGAAUUGUUAACCAAAUAAUUUUGCAGUUUCAAAGUGAAGGUACUCAAAUUCAUCUUUUGUACAACAAAUUUACUGCUCUUUACAAUACUGUUUUAAGAAAUUAUAUUAAAAAGUCUGUUAUUGAUAAGACUGAGUUACCAAAAAUUGCACUUGCUAAUCCUGAUUAUUUUGUGGAGCUAGAUAAUCUUUAUAUGGGUGCAAAUGUAGAUCUAUUUAUACAACAAAUUAAUAUUGACGCGACAGAAGAUCAAAAGUUUAGAACUAAUAUAUUAUCUUUUUAUAUUGAACUCGCUAAUCAAAUAAGGAAACGUUUUAAUUUUGAAGACAAGUUUCUAAUGUUUCUUUCAACUUUCGAACCUAAAGUUGCAAUGAGUGGCGAAAUUCCUUCUAUAGUGAAAAGUAAUUUAUAUUUUGGCAACAACAUCAUAACUAAUUUGGAAGAAUUAAACAACGAGUGGAGACUUUUACCAGACAUUGCCUGUUUAAAACAGUAUACAAAUUCUGAUUUUAUUGAAUUUUGGAUAAAAGUUUUUAACUUGAAAAAUGAAAUUAAUAUGCCAAUGUUUCCUAACUUGACUAAACUUGUGAAAGCCAUAAUGUGUCUACCUCAUUCAUCAGCCGCUGCCGAGCGUAUCUUUUCUAAAUUAAAUCUUAUUAAGAGUGAUUCUAGAAAUCGUUUAAGUGUUGAAACAUGCAACUCAAUUAUAUUAAGUACUGAACUGAUGGAAGGUACAAAGAAGUGUUUUAACUGGGAACCACAAAAAUCAUUGUUAGAGAAAAACGUAACAAAGACAUUAAAAGAAAUUUUCAGUAUUUAUAUAGUUUUAAGAGAAUAUAUUUUGUGUUAGUAUUUUUUGUUUUAUAUUAUUAUAGGGUUUAUUUUUUGUUAUUUAAAUUUAAUAAACUUAUGAACAAAAAAUGUUUGUAAACUUAUUUUUUGCCUUUUUCACUUUUUUCAUAAAAUUUUAUAUCGAAAAAAAAUUGGUACUUUAAAAAGGAAACUGGUACAUUUUGUUUCUUUAGGUUGGUACACAAUUAUUAAGCCAUCUGGCAACGCUGAGGCCACUCCAUGCUUUUGUAUAGGGACUGAGAUCUCGUGUCGUGGGCCUGACGCCAACCUAAACAUUGAACACUAUCGAUAACCCGUUGAACUUUUACAACAUCAAAUUUAAUGAAACUACAUAUUUUUGUCUCUGAACCCUUUAUUUAAUUAUAAAACUUCAAGGUUAUAAUGCAAAAAGUAUAAACAAUAAUAAAUAAAAUAACAAAUAAUACCAGCAAAUUAUGUUUCUGAAUAAGCAGUUGGCUUUUUUAGAAAUUUUAUUUCAAGUAAUUACAAGCGCGGUGAGACAUAGAGUGUCUCCCCUCUACAAUUUAGCAUAUAUUUAUAAUAUAAAAAAUGUUUACUAAGCAUUAAGCACUAAGGGGAUAUUUUGCACAUAUAAUUCCUCCCCUCUUAGCCCGAAACUCCGGAGAGGAACUAAAAUUUGGCAUCGCGGGGUAGUUCUACUGGCUCAGGGGCUUCUUCCGUUUGGUUUCUUCGCCGAAAUGCUAUCUUCUGCAUCAUAAACCAGAUGGCUAAGGCUAGAAAUACAAAAUACAAUAUAGCAGUUCCGGUUAGGUGCCAAAUAUUUUUGCUAUCUUCGUAGGGGUACAUCUGAAGUCGAGGCAGGUUGUUAGUUAAACUUGUAACUUGAAGGGUCCUCAAGGUUAGCUUGGGAAUCUUCACAUUAUUUCUUGCAGGAAGUCUGAAGUCUUCUAGGAUUAUGGGUUUUCCUUCGGUUGUGUCAUUAAAAAUCAGAAGUUGAUCAUUGACGUAUUUUUGGCAGUUUAGUUGAUUUUCGAAGAGAAAGACACCUUGGAUUUGGUGUUGUGCCAAAACAUUGGAGCAAGAAGUUUUGAUGGGAACUGGUACCGGAAAAAUGCCUAGAUACUGAUUAAUUUCGGGAACGAAUUCGAGAGUUUGGAGCCUGUUGAGCUGGAUUGGAAGACAUUUUUCGAACGUGUUUUUAAAUAGGAUUUCCAUUUGACAAGAAAUAUUAACAUAGGUCCUUAAUUCAUUUUUACAGAAGUAUUCCUUUUGGAUUUUGUCACAGAUGUCUGUUAACGGCCACAAAUAGGACUCGCCUUUUAAAACAUAUUUUGCAGAUGGUAUGAUUGUUUGAAAUUUCUGGUCUGGAAGAGGUAUUAAGUAAAAUAAUUCUAAUUCACGUGUUUCGUACAAAGGAAAAGAAAGAAAAUAAAUUAUUUCAAAUUUAUUAAUGACACAUUUGGUUGACAAAAUUCUUUUAUAAUUUUGAAUGUU